Molecule: long non-coding RNA, 1487 nt
Organism: Olea europaea var. sylvestris
Lineage: Eukaryota; Viridiplantae; Streptophyta; Magnoliopsida; Lamiales; Oleaceae
Exons: 3
Source: RefSeq, a predicted model, not a curated record
UUCUCUCUUUUGACAUUGAAAUCAACGUCUAAAUUUACUGAAUAACAUUACCUCAUAUGUUGCCUUUCCAGAUGAUUGUCAUGGAGUGCCAAUCGGUCCAAGGGUAACUCAGCUGAAACCAUGCUGCUAAUAACAAGCUCACUGUGAAUUUGUUAUAAUUAGGCACAAUCUUAUUGGCUCUACAUUGUACCAUGGGGUCUGUACAAAGCUGUUAACUACAUUAAAGAGACUUGUGGAAAUCCUACCAUGAUUUUGGCUGAGAAUUGUACAUUAUGAAUGGAUGAUCUGGGAAAGUGUUGCAUGUUCUAAGGAUUUACAUGAGACCACAAGGAUCAACUACUAAAAGAGCUAUUUAGCAGAAUUGAAGAAACAAGCAAUGAGGGAGCCAAUGUGAUCAGCUACUUCCAGUGGACAUUGCUUUCUAAUUUCGAAAAGAGACUCAGGUACACAUCAAGGUCCGUCAUUGUCUAUAUUGAUUUCAAAACCCUCAAGAGAUACCCAAAGAUGUCCACCUACUGGUUCCGACGGCUGCUAUACCGAAGCCAGCAUUAAGCAAAAGAAUGGUUCUCUCUAUCUUUCAAUAUUGCCAUCUGCCAUCUUUCCAUUCGAAUUUAAAGCUGCCACAUGAAUUUCACUGGAAGUGAUGGACUCGUUCAGAGCAAAUGGAAAGGAUGAAGAACAAAUUGGCUAGUGGAUGCAAUAUUGAAGAACAAAUUCAACACUUGAAAAAUUGAAGAGGACGUUGAUUGCACAAUGGAGGAACUCAAAAACUGAAAUAUAUUAUAUUGAAAGAUUGAGGACUUGAUGAUUAAUAUUACAUUAAAGGCUUUGAAUUGGAGUCAAAUUUGGUGGCUAUGGAAUUAUUAUAUAAAGAUGUACACGCAGGAGGAAUUAGGGAGAGAUGGGAGUCCUUUCGUGAGUCAACCAUUGUGGCUGCUAGAAUUUUCUUUUGAUAUAUAUAUACACGUAUAUACUGAAGAGAAGGAAGCAGCCAAUUUUAAUAUAUAUUUUUCCACACACCAUAUUAUAGAGAAGCACGAAACUUUUGGCAGGAAUUCGAUAUUUUUUGGCACACAUUUUGAGGUGGCAAGAGGUGAUUGACACAGAUAGGGGGUACGGCUGUUGGGAGAAUUAAUUGGAGGGAGCUGGGGAUUUCUUUUUCUGCCAGUAAUAGAGACGCACAGAAAACCAAGGGUGAGGAAAUACUAUAUUUUAUACACACUUCGGAGGCUGAAAUUGUAAAAACCGAGAGAGAGCAAAAAGGAGGCAGAAUAUAUACACGCAUACACGGCCAAAGAUGGCAACACGCGACGGCUUUACUUUUACAAAUUAUUCACGUUCCGUCCAUUUUCAGUGAUGCCUUCCAUAAUUUCUUACAUACACGGCCAGAGAUGGCAACACGCGACGGAUUUACUUUUACAAAUUAUUCACGUUCCGUCCAUUCUCAGUGAUGCCUUCCAUAAUUUCUUGUUUUUCUCUCAUUACUA